Long non-coding RNA from Numida meleagris (helmeted guineafowl), 14968 nucleotides. RefSeq lists it as uncharacterized. The record is from RefSeq and is a predicted model, not a curated record. NCBI's taxonomy places the organism in Eukaryota, Metazoa, Chordata, Aves, Galliformes, Numididae. The transcript has 6 exons.
UCCAAAGGAACGCUUUUUAAUGUAUAUUGCAAUUGUAUAAACAGGGUCACUAGAGCUAAAUGGGAUGUCAAUGACCUAUGAAGAUCAUAAAGUAAACAAAAGAUCUUAAAAUAAGCAUGUAACCUGAACACAUUGGGGAUUGUUGUAUAUCAAAGGCAUUUGCUUAUAUAAAGUAAGGGAAAAUUACUUACGGGUAAUGUUGUUUGCCACAAGUCUACCUCUUGCCUGCUCUACAAAGAAAACCUACCCAGAGGGACUGGAGUAUGUCUCCAUCCACCAGCAAGCACCGAGCCUGCAGGCCCCAGCCAAGCAGAAUCCAGCUUUUGCACACACAUAAUAAAUACACAUUGGAAUUCCAAGGAGCAGCGAUAAGACAUCAUUCCUGAUGCCUGGUGGGGAGCUUGGCACUGACUGGAUUGCACAGGCUCUACUGGGUGGGCGCAGAACCGUAAGAUUGGAAUGCUGAGGCUGGGAAAUCUCUGCACAGAUGGAUGUGCAGCACAUGAUUUUUUAAGCACAGCCCAGUUUUGUCCUCCAUCCUUCUGAACGGAUUGCACUUGCUAAGCUCCCCAUUUCGGGUUUAGUGCUACAACGUGGCAGACUCCUUCACCGUCGGACAUAAGAGCUGCUGUUUGUGAGUAUUUUGUGUCCUUCACCUCCCCUGGAAGGUGUAGGUGUGGGGAUGCUGGAAACCUCGUAAUUGUCACCCAUUGGGAAAGGAUGGCCGACUGACGGCUAAUGAUCUGGGAGCUGGAAUUCGGAGACAAAUGCUAAACAUAAUCAAUAUAUAUAAAAGGAGAAUUAUUUUUUUUUCCCAAAAAAGAGGCAAAAAAAAAAAGCAAUGAAAAUUUAUGACCUUAACAUUCCUUCAGGGUCAAGCAAUUUAUCAAAUUCUCUCACUUUCUGGUUUCAAUUACACAGCUAUUGUGGAAGGAACUUAUUUUAGCAGGUUCAUUUGCCUCAGUAGGGAAUACAGGACUUUGGCCUAAUGCUUCACCUUUAGUGCAGGCCAUUUGAGCCUUAGAACAAAUACCAAUCAUCACUCUUUGGGAAAAAAAAAAAAAUCUGCAUCGGCGUGGCCUAUUGGAAUGGGGUUUCUGUCAAGGUAAACGGUUGUCGGCAAUGACUGUGGUAGAGUGGCGAUAAAUCCCAUUUUAUUGCUGAAAAAUUCCAGCUUCUCUCCAUGCCUGACAGCUCCCCACAUUCUCGUACCCAUUUGGGCAAUUUCUGACUCUGUCCAUCUGGUUCUUAUUACCUCUCAACCUGCCAGUGUCUGAUCCAGAAAAAGUGCAGGUCAAAAACAGGGGAAAGAAACCAAGGUGAUGGACAAAACAGAGCGAGUGAUUGAGGGGCUGCGCUGCUCUCCCACCCUCCCUCCCCACCCCACAACAAAAGUGCUGGGGGGAGGGUGACACGAGAUCAGGAGAGGUUAUUAGCUUAAUUAUGAAGUUGCCAGAAACCUCCUUAAAAUGGAACGCUAAAUGGGUGUUAAGCCACAUGCUCAAAGCCCCGGUAACAACAUCUUUGAUGCUUGUCCAGGACACCCAGAGGCACCUGCCUAAAUGCAGGCUUUGGAAAGAUGGGGGCAAAGCCCCCCAGCCCUGAUGGCGGCUGCCCUGCUGUGCCCACUCCCUCUGCAGCUGGUGCCACUGCGUACCUCGACCUUGUAUCCAAUGGAUUGCUCUGGGCUGAAAAUUGUGGCAGGAGGUCAGAUAAAUGCAGUUAAAAUUUAAUUUAGGGGGAAAAAAAAUAAGGAGAAGUUGGGCUACAGAAAACUGAUCAGAAAGAAAAAUCUCCACCUCCAUGCAAUGUUUUUCAUGUGUCAGAAUCCAAGCCUUUUUUUUAGGAAGUUCAGCUUCUUAUCAGCCCCCCCCCGCAAUAAACAUGGGGAACAUUUGGCCAAUUUUAAAAUGUGAAAACAAACAGCUGAGCCCAGGACAACUGAAAUUCUGUUAAGUCAAAGUGAAGUAAUAUGGGAGUACUUCUUCCAGGAACAACUGUGUUGCAUGGUGUUGGCCAAGGCUCCACCAGUGACAGCAGGGGACGUGCCCUGGUCCACCAAGUCAUAUAUUCCUUUCCAAGAACUCCAGAGAAUUUGAAUUAUUCUAUUUAUUGCUCAUUUAUAAAUGCUCAUUCUGCCUGAAACACUGCAUUUUUCUUGCUGCGUCUUGCUCCCAAACAGAUCACCACACCAAAGAUGUGGCCUUGUGCAAGCUUUACAUGGAGCUUUGUUUCCCAAGGAUGCAAGGAAACUGAAACUUUUCAGAGCUGCCUUCUAUCACCAAGAUUGCAUUUUAAAUCAAAAUGCUCUCCAUGACUGCCUGCUUUGCAGCACUAGGGUAAGUGCCAUUUUUCCACAGCUUAAACAAAACUAUGCCUAAGGACUCUAUGCCAGGAAGGCAUUCUGUUGGUUUUUGUUUUAUGAAAUAUGCACAGUGUUGUUGGAAGAACAGCCUCUUUCCUUAUUUUUUAUUUUUAAUUUUAUUUUUCUCCAAAUAUGUGAAUUUGCGCAUUUGCAAAACAGAGCUGCUCUCAUGCAAGCUAAUUCUUUGCGAGGGUGACAAGGCUCCAAACUUGUAAUAAAUUAUCAACGGCAGCAUUAAGAAAGAAAAUAUAAAACCAAAUAUGCUUUGAGAAUUGACUGAAUCUUUUAUUUAUCUUUUUUUUCUUUUAUCGAGGCAUCCUUUGAAAAAUGGCACAAAAUAAAUAGUUUUGCAAAGCAACAAUAUAAUCAAUCUCUAAACGAGAAGAUAAAUCAAGGAUUUCAUUAACUGCUGGUAGCCAGUUUAAAUUGUAGUCUUGUCCAUAAUGUCUAUCUAUCUAUGUAUGUCCAAGUUAUAUUAAAAACCUUUAAAUGGCUUUGUAAUAUCAGCUACAUCUAGCUAUUAUAAUAAUUAAUGAUACUGUUUUAUAAAUCAAUAUAUGUAUUCUUGAUAAAUUCAUAUCCAGUUAAUGGUGUAAUUUAAAUAAAAAAUUAAUGCAAUAAAGGACAUACUGGAACAGGCAGGAAAUCUUUAAAGGUUAAGAGGCAAAUUUGUCUAAAUUCUUUUCUUUGUACCUAUUUUUGAGAAAGCGCCCAUUGAAAUUCAGCUGCGAGCAGGCUCGCUCUUACGGCCCCGCUCUGGCCAUUAGCUUGGGAUUAUCAGCAGCCGUGGAGUUUUUCAGGCAGAUGCAACGCGAGGUCCUUCAGCUGAGCGAGCUCGUCCCUCCCUGCUCCCUAAUCCUGCUGCAGAACUGCAAACAAAAGUCGCGGGAGGAACGUGCCGGCCUUUGGCCAGGAACAGAAAGGGGCAAAACGUGUUGUUUUCAGCGCUCCCCACUGACCCCCAUCUCUGUAGCGUCGCUGGGAUUUUUUGGCUUAUUGUAUAAAGUGUCAAAAAAGGUAAAAUAUAAAUAUUUUGUCCCGGGCACGGAGCGCGCUGAGAGGAGCAUGCAAACCCUGCAGCCCGUGCGGCGUAAUAAAAAUCUGUUCUUUAUCUCUUGUUUUAAAUACAGUUAAUCCAGUUUAUUCAGCAAACACAUCUAAGAGCAACUUAGGGGGAAAAAAAAGCUGGAAAUUGCCUUUUCAUAUUUCUAGAUCACGCGUUAGUGAGAAACCGUGGCUCGGUUCCUUUGCUUUUAUUUACACUCAGUGACCACAAAAUGUAUCUCUAAGAAUAACAUGGGAUUUUAAUAGGCAAUAUUAAUUGUCCUUCCUAUAACUUUUGAUCUUAAAUGUUUAAAACAAAAGCCCGCUGCCUGUUUAUACGCUGGGUAUUUUAUGAAGGAUCUCUUUUUGAAAUUAUGCAAAACACGAAGCUUUGUCAUCCUCCGUGACACGGUACAGAAAUGUCACUUUAAUCCGACGAGAUCUUUUUUUUCUUUUUUUUUUUUUUUUUUGACGUUUCUCUCUCAACAUUGCUCUGCCUUAUUUAGAGCAGCAGCAGCGCUCUGCGCAGUUUCCUUUGACACUGAUGGGUAUUUCAAAACGCUGCGUGGAAGGGAGGGAGGAAGAGAAAGGAAUUUGCUGCCAGUCACCUCAGCAAUGCGGCUACACGAGCAAUCGCUAUUUGCUCAAAGUUUACAUUUCCAAUGAGCUUGGGAGGUAAAGCUGCAUUAUCUUGACGCUGGCUCCGUGUUUGGGAACGUAGGGGGGAAUCAGGGAGGACGACGAUCGCCGCGCGCGGAAGCGCGCUCGAGUGUUUGUAACGCUGCCAUUUAAAGCCUAUUUUGGUUUUCGGUGGAACUAGGAGCAGGAGACGCAUCGCCAUCCCUCGGAGGCUUAAUUUAGGCUUUAUAGGAAAAGCAUCAAAUGGGAGCUUCCAGCAACGCCCUGAAAUGUAUUGCACAUCCUAAAUAUCUUCAUUUCGAAGCGUGCCUUGUUUUUUCCCCUCCCAGGAUCGCUCGUGUGUCUCUCCCCAGACAAAGCAAGGACGAGCCGCAUUCUUAAAAAUUAUCUGCCUUACAGAUCGCGUUCCCAGGCAUGUCCCCGCGUUUUAUUACCGCAGAAAACUCCUUAAUGGUAUCACAAUUUUAGACUUGUUAAGUGGACAUCUUCCUUGUAUUUAACUGCAAACAAAGUGACUUCAUUUAGGGGCGGGAGGAACGAGAAAAUGCUUUGGGAUGAUUAGAAACAUAAGUUUCUAUCUUCUGUCACCCGAUCCUAUCAAUUAUUCAAAACCUACUAAAUUUAGAUGUCUGUUCCUAAAACAUUGUUUGCGCUCGUUCCCUGGAAAGAUGGAGGCAGCCGAUAAUUUGGCUAAAUUAUGUGCUUGAGCCCAAUCGUUACAAAUGAAACAAACGCUUUCUGCGCCCGUGUGAAGUCAAAGUCGGCGGUUUGGUUCACCACUGCCAAAAUUUCCCAGCUCCUUGCGUGAGCAAGCAUGGCGAGGCCGGGGCUCACAGACGUCGGCAUGGACCAGCCACAGCAAUGCCUUAGCCACCAGGGCUUGCCCAUGGCUAAAAGCAGCAAAGGGCCUAACGCAGCCCCAGGCGGUGGCUCCCUGGGCAUGAAGCCCAGCUGAAGCGCUGGGUGCUUCCACAAGGCAAGCUGGGGAGAUGUGGGGUGGGUGCUCCGGGUUGGGUGGGCAGCCCAGCUCUGCCACCCCUCACACCACCUCAUUACCACUGUGGCACCUCCUCUGUUGGAGGAGACGCUGGGCUGGGGCAGAGACUGUGGGAGAUGGCAUGAGGGCAUCACCGCUGAUGGUGGUGGGAGAGAAACCAAGCCAAAAAAAUAAAUGAAUAAAACCAGCAAAAAAAUCCACCCUGCAGAAACACCACCCAAGCGUUUAUCUUUCGAUUCCUGAGACACGGGCAGCCUUAGGGGGAAAAAAAAAUAAAUGAAUACAUUUAUAUUUAGAAAGCCAGGCACUGAGGGCAACAGAAAGCAAAUGGCACGAGCCCCGCCGUCCCCCACGCUGCGGGGAAGGCACGCGGGCACGACGCAGGUCCCCUCUUUGCAGCCCGGCAUAAAGGCGGACGAGCGGGGAAGGAGGGGAAAAACACACACGCACAAAAACACAAAACAAAGGACGUGUAAGCGCUUUCAUUUAUUUUGAUAAUCCUCCUCCUGCUCCAGAGCGUUUUGCUGUCUUUGUCAAAGUGAAUGACAACAAUUUGGCCAACUCUCUCUGAGCCGCGCUCGGCAGUGACAGGCAAAUUAUCAGAGGCCCUGCACUCCUUAUUAUCGGAGGAGAAGUCAUCAGGAGGACGUGCGGAGGAUCCCUCUCCCCUGUCACUAUUUGUCAGUGGGACAAGGGCCACUGCUAUGGGUAGCUGACAGGUAAUUUCAACAAUAACAAUUACUCCUAUUACUGGUGUCAUAAACAAUUCGCCCAAGGCAUGACAAUAGCAAAGCUUUAUAAUUCAAUGCCAUAUAAAUAAAUGCCAGCAGGUAACAAGUAAUUUAGCUCCAAUCAAGCCUCGGCCCCGGCAUUAAUAUUGUUAUUGCAAGAAGAUGGAAAAUUGAAAAAAUUCAAUAUGUUAAUGAAUUAAGAGGGGGUCAAAGGCUAAGGGAGGGGAGGAGUGAGCGGGGAGGGAAAAACAAAAGCAAAAGCCACAAAAAGCCGUCGCCGGGCCCAGCCCCACGCGUGGCACCGCUCGCACCGCGGGCGGAACUGCACGGAGCUGCUCUGAUUGCCAUGCCGUGAACUGAGCCCCGGGUGACACGUCUUGCAUGGCCAGACUUAACAGAGGGGAAAGGUUUGUUUAAAGCUCCACCACUUCAGGGCGCGCUCCGUUGUUCCCUUCAAUUUCAUCUUUUUCAGCCAGCUCUGUUCAACCGACGAUAUUUAUUUAUCGGGAAGAAGGAUUUCCCCGUCCUUGCCCCGUCCCCCAGGGCCCUGCCCAGGCCUCCCGCGGAACCCACGGAGCCACGGGCCGGGGUUGGGUGCCUCGCUCGGCCCACUCUGCAGGUUUACCACUUGUCCAGCCAAGACAAUGCGGCAUCAGCCUGACAGCGGGAAAAGAAUUUGAAGAAUCUCUAAUUAGGAGAGCUGCGGAGCAAUUAACGCAUGUCAAAUUUCACUUCAUCAAGUGCCACUCUAAUUUUCCCACUAAAAAUUAAUGGACUUUCGUGUGCGUGUGCGCGUGUGCGGGUGUGUGUCCCCUCAAGGCAAUGUUGAUUCAAAUCUGCUCAAGAUGCAGCGUUGCACAGCUAAGCAUCUUCUUGAUUACAACCCGCCACACUUCUAACUGCUUUCAUUCUCACUGCCACAGAUACUUUGUCAACAGUCAAAUUACGCCACGCUGAUAACAAUGCAUAAUGGUCUUCCUCAAAGGAGGCUCCUGUCACGGAGCAGCCUUUCAUAAAAAUGUACCAUUUUCUUCCCUGGGAAAUAUAUCUGUCUGACAAUGAAGUUUUUGCGGUUUCGGCAUUGGCUGCAGUGUAAUCCUUUAUUUCCCCCCCUCCCCUCUUUCUCCCUCUCCCUCCCCGGCUCCUGCUGUAAUUUAUUUAUUUUUGAGCCCAUCUGAAAUCACGGCAGGGCACUGUUUGAAGAGCUAUACAGAACGGAAAAUAUUUAUAGUCACUGUUUGUACUGCUUUUGCUGAACCACUUUGCUCCGAGACAUUUUCAAGAGCAACGUGCUCUCUCCAAUACCGGCGACUUCUUUUUCUCUCUCUUUUUUUUUUUCCCCCCCUCUUUCCCCCCCAUUUAGGAAGGUGUGGGGCAGGCUCCUGCCCUCCCAUCUGGAGCACGAGCCCUGCUGACGUCAAUGGGAGUCGUGCCCGCUGCUGUAAACAUGUUGGGACAUUCUCUUAUAAUGGAUGGGGUUUGGGUUCCGCGUGGUGCCAGCAUCCUCCGGGGCACCCAGGACAAAUCUCCUUUUUGUCAGAGCAGAGGGCGAGAGCCUGCCUGGGUUUGCCUCUGGGCUCCCUGCUCCUCGCUUUUGCCGGGAGAUCGAUAUCAGCAACUAGAAGGGGGGUUGAUAAGAAUAACACACCCUCAAGAUUAUCUUUUUCCCUUGAAGUUUCAGAGCAUAUUUCAAUAUAUUUGUCCGCCCACAAACCUGAAGAGCAAAUACGGCUCUUCCUGCUGCAGGGCUGCUGCUACGAGCGAACAAGGCACCCCCGUGGUAUUGCUAGGGCAUGCACACCUUAGUGUGUGCCUGCAUUAUAAAAAAAACACCACCACAAAAUAUAUAUUUCCUUUUAUCCGAGCCACCUUUCCAUCACCAGCUUCUCUCCUGCUGCAGACAAACGAUGCAAAAGCAGCAGGUAAUGUUGCCCGCUCCACCCCAUGCUCCCCUACACCCACCCCUUCCCUCCGUCCACCACCGUCCUGCAGUUAUUAACCCUUCCCAGCACCUCUGGAAGUGGGGGACUGGGGGCUGCUCCCCCUCUCUGUGUCCCUGCCGAGGUGGAAGAGCAGCACCGGGGCUGCCUUUAACAAAGCCCGGCUGGGUCGGCGUGCAGGGAGCACGUAGGGACCGCAGCCCUAAAAAUUGUAAUGCUGCUUUUAAACAAAGCCGAGAGAUGCGCUUUGCCUCCAAACCCCUUUUUUCGGGGGGGAAACCGAAAAAGGCUGUCAUAAAAAUAAUAGGCAGGGCUGUAAAUUAAAGAAAGAGAGAAAGAAAAAUGGGAUGAUAUAACGCAUCCUGCGGUAAUCAAUUUUACCUCCAAUAUCUGCUUUUGUUUUCAAAAUGCUAAAUAAACAAUACAUAAUGCAUCCCUCAUCAGCCAAAACCAUGAGGGCUCUGUGCUCAAAUAACAGGAAACAUAUUCAAUUUUCCUAACAGAAGACAGUUCAUUAAGCUGUGCCACAUCAAAUAAAACUUUAAUUUCUCCAGCAUCGGAGUCGCAAUGAAAGCAAUUGAGGAAGAUGAGCCAUAUGGUACUUCUAUCAGCAAACACAUAUUGCUCAUUCCCCCAAAGUUUUCUAAUUCUGCUCCCCAGACCUGUGUAAUAUAGAUAAUGUGCUCUGAGCGCAGCAACCAUGAGCUAUCUGGUGUACACUUCUAAUACUGUAUUUAAUGGGAAAUAAUGAAUCAUAAAAGCCUGCAGAAGACGGCUUUUGCUAACCUAAAUCUCAGCUGUAAUUUCAUUGUUCUGUGCCUAAGAUGCCGCUUGCCCUUUUCAAACAACAGCGGUUGAACAUAAUUAUGCCGCCGCAAACCUGGGCUGCAAAAAGCGCGGCUCCCGGCCCUACCAACUUCCAUUAACUCCUGAAGCCCCGCGCCGGGUGCGGCAGCCGGCUCCCAGGGGUCAGGGCAGCGCUCCGAACCGGUUCCUCUCCGAUCUGGCCCCAAAAACGCCACAGGAGGAGGCUGUGAAAAAUUAGGAAAUCCGCUUGACAUCGGGAAAUCCGACCCUUGUCUGCUCUAACAUCUCUAAGCACCAAAGCCGUGUGGCGUAGUAGGAGGUGGAUUUUUUACACACACAUAUAUGUUUUUUUCCCUAAAAGGUUGUUGCCACUUUUGCUGCUUUUCACGUCAGAGAAGUCGGGUAACGCGGGGCCCUUUGAAAUAUCUCUCAACUGAACCGAACUUCUGCCUGCAAAUGUAAGAAACAUUUAUUGUGGCCGAGCAAGGCUUUCCUUUUCCUUAAUCUGAGGCAAUUAGUACCUGAAUAAACACAGACCGAGCAAUCCACCUCCUCGCAGUGUAAUUGCACUUUAGAGGAGUUCCUCGGCUCUGCCCAAGGAAGCACAGCUCCCACUGAGGUGCCUGGAGCUCACUUUCACCCUGCUCAGCCGCCUGUAAACCCCCUGACUUCUAAUGGAAAACCCUUCGCACUCCCCCAACUCCUCUCUCCUCAAACCCCGGCCAGGCCCGGCCCUCUCCCCCCGAAAUCUUUCACCCCGCUUCUCAUUUUUCUUGGGCUCUAAUCUAAUCACUAAUUCCUUCGCUUGGCCAAAUAGUUAAAAAUGUUAAGUGCUGGCAGUUCCUCCUGCCUCCCCCCCGUAUCUGUCUCUGUUUAUGGAACGGGCCCUGGUUUCCUCCUUCUCUUGUUCAGCUGUAGGUCUUCAGGUCGGGAGACUGUAAAUACACACAGCGCUGCCCCGACCCAUAAAUCUGAGCAAAGGGCAGCCCUAUAUAUUCAGAUAAGCCACGCAGAGAGGGGGAAAGGAAAAAAAAAAAGGGGGGGGGGGGGGAGAGAUGAGGAAUAGAACAAAGUGAGGCAAGGGCAAGUCAGCAGCUCCAUGAUCAUGCCAAUGGGGCACGAGGGAUGCCCACCGCCGCCCUCUGCUUGUACACAACUGGUCACGAAAUGCACGUGGUUCCCUUUGGGCAAUGAAAUGAAACCCCAGAUCUUUGUGGCUAUCUGACGUGCCUUUCUCUCCCCCAGCCCUUUGUUGGUCGAUUCCUCCCCCCCCCGCCCCCAUUUUAUUUCCAGCACCUCUGAAGCUUUCAAGGGAACAGUCCCCCUGUUAUUGCUUCUCAGCUCCAAGGUCUUAGAAUAAAUAACAUUGUUAUUACUCACUUCACCAAUUUCCAAGAAGAAAUAUUGCCGCAGCAAAUGCGAGCAGCACUAAUAUUUGCAAAGUGAUAAAUGGAUUGCUACAUACCUUCCCGUCUGUGUGGCCUCCAGCCAUCCCCGGGCCAGCUCCAUCUCCUCGGGUGCCUUUGAACCGAGGGGGCUCCAGGCACGGUGCCUUGCACGGAUCCCCUCCCUCGCCCUCCGAUGGGGAGAGGAGCUCAGACCUGGAGUUGGGUACCAGGGGGAGAUGGCUGCCCUGCCCGCAAAUACCUGUAAAUAACAUAUAGAUAGUUUAAGCAGUGGUUUUAUCUACUGCUUGGAUGCGGUGUGGACUCUUUGAUUGCACUGAAAACAAAAUGUCCAAAUUCAAUUAUUCCUGGGACGUGAGUCAUGCUGAAAAACACUUUAAAUGCCUGGUAAUUAAAACCAAAGUGCAACCUCUUGCUUCACCCCACAGUGGCUGCUCCAGCAAAGCAAGCCAGACUGCCACCAACAAUGGGACACUGAAACCCUGCUUUGCUCUGCUCUGAAGAGCCCAUGUUGGCUGCCAAGCCCUUCCUGGCUCCUUGCAUCCCAAUGACAUGUUCUUGACUGAGCCCAUUGCAAUUCCAGGCUGCGCUCCAAUGGGCAUGGUUAUUUCAUUGUUUGGCUACUUGAUUGCUUGGCUUGAGCUCUCUGGCUGGGGCAAGUGGAUUCACCUGAGAUCUCCCAGGCACCAGAGAUGGUGUGAAGAUGGAUUUUCUUGUGCACAGCAAAAUGCAGCUGCUCCAGGGCAUCAUCCCAGUGUCCUCGUGGUUGCGUCUCAUCCUCUGUGCAGCAGGGGCAGCACCAGGAGCUCUCCCUGGGCAUUUCUCCCCAAGCAGCCCCAGGAAUUGGCUCAGCCCAAGCUUUCCUUCUGAAAGGGCUGGCAGGGGCCUUAGGGAACAGCCGUCAGCAUGAACAGGUUAUGUGCACAGGGCAAACAGCAUCCUAUGGCUUCUACAUGGGGUGAAGGGUGAACACAGAGGUUCCCGUGAUGCUGGGUGAAGGUGCAGGCACAGUGUGGCUGUGCUGGUCCUGGACAAGUCUGCACCCGAGGGGAUGAAGAAGGUGGUAGGCUGAAAACCUGGGCUACAUAUCUAUGUAUAUAUACAUAGAAAUGCAUUUUUUUUCUUUAUUUUCUUUUUUUCCCUAAGAAGUAGCCCUUAUCCGUAACAUGGAGAGCAAACUUGUGAACUGCUGAAAAAAAUCACCCAGAAAUUGUGAGCAGAGGUACAAAAGGGUCGAGCGGGAGACAAUAAAAAUCUGUCUGGCAGUUUUCCUCUUGGCCGAGGUAAAUACCAUAUUUUCUUUUUUGUUGUUGUUUUUAAGAUAAGACAAAUCGAACUGAAGGCCAUGAAAUACAGAUAAGGAGAGAAAGUCCUUCGGGAUGGGCUUGUAAAAGCUCAUGCAAAGUACGUAUGGUUGGAGAGCAGUAAUAAAAAGCGAUAGUUUGUAUUGGUUUCUAAUCAAAGGCUUAAUACACCAACUAUCCAUAAUGCUCAUAAAUGUAUGAGUCUGUGUGCUCUGUUAUACAGGCAUGCAGCUACAGAUGCACAGACACGAAUGUACAUAGAUAUGCAUACAUGUUUAUUGUGUACAUGCAUGCAUGUGUAUACAUGUACACGUAUACAUACACAUAUAUAUGUAUAUAUAACAAUGCUUAUUGAUAGAUGAAUAAAUGCACACAUUAAUACGUGCAGAUACACAUAUGUGUACUCAAACCCAUGGGCACACAUGCACAUCCCCCCCCAAAAUACACAGCUUGCCACCAAUGAAAAAGAACAAGGGCUGCAGAAUUAUCUCAAGGAAAAAAAUGAUGAAAGGAAGCAUCAGGGUGAGAGCUGCAGCAGUGUCACUUUAGGGAGCCAUCCCACUGCUUGCAAGCACUCAGAAAUCACAGAGCACUUACCAGCACCUUUCCUGGCCCAGAAGCAGGUGGGGAACAGCUCGAGAUUGGGAUUUUGGGGCAAUUUGUGCCGAUUCCUGCUGCCCUGCCAGGCACGAAGCCCUGGGAGAUCGGCCUCAGCCAGGAGCAGGAAACACGCAGGUUCAGUGGGUGUUGCACAUGAGCCCAUGUCCACCAGGACAAAAGCCACCCCUGAAAGAGACCUUCUAGAAAAUGAUGUGUCCUAUCUGUCCGCACCCAUAGGAUGCUGAAAGGACCCCUACAGCCUUCCCUCUAUUAUUGACUCCUAUUUUUUUCUUUGGUGACUAAUAUUUUUCUCCCGACUUUUACUGACAGACAGUUCUGUUGCUUUAAUAGAUACAUGUAAGAAAACCACUUCUGCAGUUGCAGUAGUUCCUUCAUAGCCAUAAGGCUAUUAACUAACAUCUUUGCCACCGAGAACAGAUUAUGGCAUUUACAUGGGAACCACGGCAGACCCACAGAAGGAUAAGUUCUUGUUUAUUCCCCAAAUCCCACCUUUUUCCAAGCCUGAGAGUGGCUCUCACGAGAGAGCAUCACCGAUGGCAGCGCCCAUGCUCCAUCUGCACUGGUUUGGGGGAGCUUUGCUGUUCUGUGCAUAUUCAAGCCACCAACUCUAUCAGUGCUGGUUAUGUGAAGUUCUGCAGUUUUAAAAGGGCAACUCAUCCUGAAGUUUCCUUUCAUUAAAAGCAUCCACAGGAGCUCCGUUUUUCCCUCUGUUUCUUCUAAUUCUGUUACUAUCUCACUAAUUACAAAUGCUGUACAAGAACUAGGUAUUGAGCCAUAGAAACGAAAGGUCAAUACAAGAACAACACUUCAUUUGUAAAUAAUAUGGCUCUGCAAUCAAUUAUCUCAUUUUCACAGAAGACAUAUUAAUCUAGGAGCAAAGGAUGAAGACAUUUGGAGGAUGUGCAGAGGGGAUCUUUAAAUGUUAAAUGUUCUUUAGCAUGUGCUAAAUAAAGGCUUCGGCAGAGCAAAAAUGUAGCGCAUAGCACUGACACUCCAGGGAGAUUCUUUAGGUCAAGUGAUUUGUACCUUCAAAAUAGUUCUCCAUUGCACUGUAAAGCCUCUGCCACUGGUGGGCUGAUGUUAUUUAGGAUGAUAGCUGCAGCAGAGAAAAUACUGCAAAAAAGAAAAAAAGGUCAUCAGUGAAAAAGGUGCUUGUUUGGAUAGGUGAAUCCAGCCCAAUUUGCACUGGUUGCAGUUGGCCGGCAUAGGGGGUGUGCAGAAAGCUCCCCCCAGUAAAACAGCCUGUGCAGGAUCAUCGCCUCUUCCAUGGGUCACAGCAGGAAUCCAUGUCAUGAUUCAGAGGUAGGCUUGUGGGUCCCACAACCAUAACCAUCAGUAGAGGAAACUGUGAGGAAAUACAGUUCCUUGACCUAAAACCAGUUCAGGAUUUCCUCACAUUCCCAUCAAAUGGCAAGGAAAAGCUCCUGUAGGCUUCUUCCCCAAAGAGACAGCAAGAAGAGGGGGACGCGUGCAAUGCCUGCUCGCUUUUGCCUUUCUGCUUCGGACUCACUGUACAUCCACCCCACGGAAACAACACAGGAUGGAAAAAAAUCCAACCAAACAAAAAUCCCCCUGGAGUGAUUCCCAAGGUAGAGCAGGUCUGCUCGCCCCGGCGGGUGCACUGUAUCUGCUCGCCCCGGUGGGCCCUUCCAAGUACUCCGCAAGCUCUGUGCCAAAAUAAAUGUUACUUCACCAUCGAGCAGGCAGAAGAAUGAAAAUCUGGAUUUGUGUGAGUGAGAAAAAAGAGCCCAAACAGGAAAGCCUUUUUCUUCUGGUUUUAAAGUCCUGGAUGAUCAAGGCUGUUCUGCUCGUUCUGAUGUAGGCAGUUUGUAGAUACCCAAAUACGCACCCGGCCAUGCAAAGUGCUCCCCCUUUGAUUCCAGCCAAAUCCUUUCUAAUUCUCUUUAAAUGUUCCAGGGCUUUUUGAAAUUGCUAUCAAUGCCAACCAAAUGCCUUAGAUCUUUCUCUCUCUCUCUCUCUCUCUUUUUUUUUUUUUGUCUGUCUUUAAAUACUCGCCUUAUUUUUAUGCAGCCCAGUUACCGCUGUACAUGGAAAAAGAAUCUAGAAAGAGAUCUGGUUUGCUUUAGCCUUUAAAGAGUAUAGAGUAAGACACUUUAACCUUCUUUGUAUUUACUUAGUUGCUUUAAUAUGAUUCCUGUAACCCCUAUAGUUCUUUUCUUUCCAUACAACUUAUUAAAUAUUUAUAAUACAGUAGCCCAUACACAUCAGACAGGUCAGGUUUUUAUUACAUUGCACUUGCCAUAGCGAUCCAGUAAAUCAUAACUCACAUUCCUCCUAGAAGUUAAAAAACUAGGAUUGCUCAGGUGAGCUCGGGCUGAGUUUGAGAGGGUCCAUCUUGAAAACAAGCCAAGCUGGUUAGAUGGACUAGCUGAACCAGGAAAUAAUAGAUCCCCGGAGGCAAUAGAUCUUCCUGUUGUGCUCCUUGGCUGGGUAUGUGUCCAUCCUUCAGCCUUUGCCACUGCUGUCGCAUGUCCCUGAGGUGGGAUCUUCACAAACCACCGAGUGUUCUCCAAACCCUGGGAUAGCAUGCAUUUUCCCCUCAGCCAUUUUAUUCGACGCCUUUUGGAUCUCCUGAGCCCUCGUUGCACACUGCUGUUGCUUCUCCACUCUGUGCACUGCUCGGACCUGUUCAUUCUCUCCAGAAUGAAAAGUGGCCAUUUAUGUUUCAGCAGACCAUAAAAACCCCGGCUGAAAGCUUUCCAGCAUUUUCCACACUGGAGCUGCCUUGCAAGGCUUAGGACCACAUUGUCAAUGCCUCAACAGCGCGGGGUUUGGUGCCUGCAGAGCAGCACCAAGGUUUGGUGCUAGGGGCAGGCAGCUCAACUCAUGGAGAAACCCUGGUACCCACACUGGUUUUAGUCUGCUGGCCUGGCAGCUUUCACAUUUCUUUGUCCUCCUGGAGUGGUAGAAUGAAAGACACUCAUGUCUGGGGCUUUCGUGUCUUCUUUUAAACUCCUGCUCCUCUCCCUCCUGCUCUCCCUCCCUUCCCUAACUCCCUUAGCUCUGCCCUGCCUUUCCCACUCUGGAAAAAAUGAAACUCUGUAAUUGCCUCUCUGUGUGCUUACAAAAAUAAAACCAAGACUAAUUGAAAAA